AUGCUUAAGGUAACAUUAUAUAUGUCGUAUGAAAAUUACAGGUGCAAUUGGGAAACUUACCCAGAGUCCAUGACAAUGUGUCUGUCUAAUGAACUACCCUGGCUGUUGUGUGAGAACCAUUUUGGUUUUAUUACUGGUGGUGAUACUACUUUUCAACCUUGGAAGCUGUCCUCUGCCUUGGAAGAUUCAGGAGAAAGACUGGUAGCUAUAGAGCACCUAUGAUGGGGAUAUCCCUCCUAUAUUGUGGAAAGAAUAUAAGAUGAGCUUCACAAUUUCAUUAUGGUCGCUUUCAUAUGCAGGAAGCUUUUCAGUUUAAGAGAAAAUCUGAAUGUCACUUUCAUAUAACACAAACAUUGUAAAAGCAAUAUCUGUGUAUCAGCAUUUCAAUGUGUAUUUUAAAGGGUAAU
Molecule: long non-coding RNA, 407 nt
Filed under: Gopherus agassizii (Agassiz's desert tortoise)
Lineage: Eukaryota; Metazoa; Chordata; Testudines; Testudinidae
Description: lncRNA (ENSGAGG00000016292.1)
Source: RNAcentral